This 685-nucleotide ribosomal RNA is filed under the name uncultured cyanobacterium. RNAcentral describes it as "bacterial SSU rRNA". It matches the Rfam family "Bacterial small subunit ribosomal RNA", at positions 491 to 1186 of the family's 1533-position model. Lineage: Bacteria; Bacillati; Cyanobacteriota. The record is from RNAcentral.
CAUCGGCUAACUCCGUGCCAGCAGCCGCGGUAAUACGGGGGAUGCAAGCGUUAUCCGGAAUCAUUGGGCGUAAAGCGCCUGUAGGUUGUUUACUAAGUCUGUUGUUAAAGACUAGGGCUUAACCCUAAAAAAGCAAUGGAAACUUGUAGACUAGAGUAUGGCAGGGGUAGAGGGAAUUUCUAGUGUAGCGGUGAAAUGCGUANAUAUUANAAAGAACACCAGUGGCGAAAGCGCUCUACUGGACCAUUACUGACACUCAGAGGCGAAAGCUAGGGUAGCAAAAGGGAUUANAUACCCCUGUAGUCCUAGCCGUAAACGAUGGAUACUAGAUGUUGUGCAUUGUACAGUAUCGUAGCUAACGCGUUAAGUAUCCCGCCUGGGGAGUACGCUCGCAAGGGUGAAACUCAAAGGAAUUGACGGGGGCCCGCACAAGCGGUGGAGCAUGUGGUUUAAUUCGAUGCAACGCGAAGAACCUUACCAGGGCUUGACAUACUACAAAUUCUUUUGAGAAAGAGAAGUGCCUUCGGGAAUGUAGAUACAGGUGGUGCAUGGCUGUCGUCAGCUCGUGUCGUGAGAUGUUGGGUUAAGUCCCGCAACGAGCGCAACCCUUAUUUUUAGUUACCAAUUCGUUGGGUUUUUUAGAAAGACUGCCGGUGACAAACCGGAGGAAGGUGAGGAUGACGUC